UGCCAAGUUGCGUAAAAAUAUGAACUAUACACAUUUAUGCUAAUUAACCAUUUUGAGGUUAUUGGAGUUGUCAUAUAGCCAUAACGACAGUUCAUUUGGAAAAAUUACACAAUCUUAUAUUAAGGUGUAGAAUCGAUUUUUUAAUACAUAUACAUUGAGCAAUCGAUACCAAGUUGCGUAAAAAUAUGAACUAUACAUAUUUAUGCUAAUUAGCUGUUUUGAGGUUUUUGGAGAUGUCAUAUAGCCGUAACGACAGUGUAUUUGGAAAAAUUUCACAAUCUUAUAUUAAGGCGUAGAAUCGAUUUCUAUACCAAGCUGCGUAAAAAUACGAACUAUACAUAUUUAUGCUAAUUAACCGUUUUGAGGUUAUUGGAGAUGUCAUAUAGCCAUAACGACAGUAAAUUUGGAAAAAUUUCACAAUCUUAUAUUAAGGCGUAGAAUCGAUUUUUUAGUACAGAUGCACUAAGCAAUCUAUACCAAGUUGCGUAAAAAUAUGAACUAUACAUAUUUAUGCUAAUUAACCGUUUUGAGGUUAUUGGAGUUGUCAUAUAGCCAUAACGACAGUGUAUUUGGAAAAACUCCACAAUCUUAUAUUAAGGUGUAGAAUCGAUUUUUUAGUACAGAUGCACUAAGCAAUCUAUACCAAGUUGCGUAAAAAUAUGAACUAUACAUAUUUAUGCUAAUUAACCGUUUUGAGGUUAUUGGAGUUGUCAUAUAGCCAUAACGACAGUGUAUUUGGAAAAAUUUCACAAUCUUAUAUUAAGGUGUAGAAUCGAUUUUUUAGUACAUAUACAUUAAGCAAUCGAUACCAAGCUGCGUAAAAAUAUGAACUAUACAUAUUUAUGCUAAUUAACCGUUUUGAGGUUAUUGGAGAUGUCAUAUAGCCAUAACGACAGUGUAUUUGGAAAAAUUUCACAAUCUUAUAUUAAGGUGUAGAAUCG
Long non-coding RNA from Bactrocera dorsalis (oriental fruit fly), 941 nucleotides. RefSeq lists it as uncharacterized. Lineage: Eukaryota; Metazoa; Arthropoda; Insecta; Diptera; Tephritidae. The transcript is spliced from 3 exons. The record is from RefSeq and is a predicted model, not a curated record.